RNAcentral lists this ribosomal RNA (253 nucleotides) under uncultured bacterium. RNAcentral's name for it is "partial 16S ribosomal RNA". It matches the Rfam family "Bacterial small subunit ribosomal RNA", at positions 524 to 776 of the family's 1533-position model. The record is from RNAcentral.
UACGUAGGAGGCGAGCGUUGUCCGGAAUCACUGGGUGUAAAGCGCGUGUAGGCGGCCUGCCAAGUCUGCUGUGAAAGCGCCUGGCUUAACCGGGCGAGGUCGGUGGAAACUGGCGGGCUGGAGGACGGUAGAGGGGGGUGGAAUUCCCGGUGUAGUGGUGAAAUGCGUAGAGAUCGGGAGGAACACCAGCGGCGAAGGCGGCCCCCUGGGCCGCUCCUGACGCUGAGACGCGAAGGCCAGGGUAGCGAACGGG